Molecule: long non-coding RNA, 132 nt
Filed under: Rhinopithecus roxellana (golden snub-nosed monkey)
Lineage: Eukaryota; Metazoa; Chordata; Mammalia; Primates; Cercopithecidae
Description: lncRNA (ENSRROG00000045967.1)
Source: RNAcentral
GGGGUCCCGCGACUUCCAUUAAUGAAUUCGCACACUGGCCGUCACCACUCAACACGCCGACGAUACUCUGUCCAGAGGAAAAGUGUAGUUUGUUGAAAGCGUGUGGAAGAAAACCCCGGAUAUACAUAUACU